GAUGAAGAACGUAGUGAAAUGCGAUAAGUAAUGUGAAUUGCAGAAUUCAGUGAAUCAUCGAAUCUUUGAACGCACAUUGCGCCCCUUGGUAUUCCGGGGGGCAUGCCUGUUCGAGCGUCAUUAUAACCCCUCAAGCUCAGCUUGGUGUUGGGGCCUGCCAACUGGCAGCCCUUAAAAUCAGUGGCGGCGCCAUCUGGCUCUAAGCGUAGUAAUUUCUCUCGCUAUAGGGUCCCGGUGGAUGCUGGCCAGCAACCCCCAAUUUUCUAUGGUUGACCUCGGAUCAGGUAGGGAUACCCGCUGAACUUAAGCAUAUCAAUAAGCGGAGGA
This 327-nucleotide unclassified non-coding RNA is filed under the name soil metagenome. Its description in RNAcentral is "partial contains 5.8S ribosomal RNA, internal transcribed spacer 2, and large subunit ribosomal RNA". The stretch from base 1 to 120 matches the Rfam family "5.8S ribosomal RNA", at positions 35 to 154 of the family's 154-position model. The record is from RNAcentral.